AAAGUCGUAACAAGGUUUCCGUAGGUGAACCUGCGGAAGGAUCAUUAAUGAAUUUGAACCACACUUUGGUGUGCAGGGUCUUUUGAGCUUCAUUGCUCAAGGCCCAACUUUCAUAUCCAUAACACCUGUGCACUGUUGGAUGCUUGCAUCCACUUUUAAACUAAACAUUAUUGUAACAAAUGUAGUCUUAUUAUAACAUAAUAAAACUUUCAACAACGGAUCUCUUGGCUCUC
This 233-nucleotide unclassified non-coding RNA is filed under the name Basidiomycota sp. RNAcentral's name for it is "partial contains small subunit ribosomal RNA, internal transcribed spacer 1, and 5.8S ribosomal RNA". The stretch from base 1 to 47 matches the Rfam family "Eukaryotic small subunit ribosomal RNA", at positions 1785 to 1831 of the family's 1831-position model. Lineage: Eukaryota; Fungi; Basidiomycota. The record is from RNAcentral.